CACGUAGGCACCAAGCGUUGUCCGGAUUUAUUGGGCGUAAAGAGCUCGUAGGCGGUUCGGUAAGUCGGGUGUGAAAACUCUGGGCUCAACCCAGAGCCGCCACCCGAUACUGCUGUGACUUGAGUGCGGUAGGGGAGCGGGGAAUUCCUGGUGUAGCGGUGAAAUGCGCAGAUAUCGGGAGGAACACCAAUGGCGAAGGCAGCUCGCUGGGACGGUACUGACGCUGAGACGCGAAAGCGUGGGGAGCGAACGAGG
Molecule: ribosomal RNA, 255 nt
Filed under: uncultured bacterium
Lineage: Bacteria
Description: partial 16S ribosomal RNA
Rfam family: Bacterial small subunit ribosomal RNA
Source: RNAcentral